This 300-nucleotide ribosomal RNA is filed under the name Pseudomonas sp. It matches the Rfam family "Bacterial small subunit ribosomal RNA", at positions 195 to 476 of the family's 1533-position model. Lineage: Bacteria; Pseudomonadati; Pseudomonadota; Gammaproteobacteria; Pseudomonadales; Pseudomonadaceae. The record is from RNAcentral.
UACGGGAGAAAGCAGGGGACCUUCGGGCCUUGCGCUAUCAGAUGAGCCUAGGUCGGAUUAGCUAGUUGGUGAGGUAAUGGCUCACCAAGGCGACGAUCCGUAACUGGUCUGAGAGGAUGAUCAGUCACACUGGAACUGAGACACGGUCCAGACUCCUACGGGAGGCAGCAGUGGGGAAUAUUGGACAAUGGGCGAAAGCCUGAUCCAGCCAUGCCGCGUGUGUGAAGAAGGUCUUCGGAUUGUAAAGCACUUUAAGUUGGGAGGAAGGGCAUUUACCUAAUACGUAAGUGUUUUGACGUU